Molecule: ribosomal RNA, 755 nt
Filed under: uncultured prokaryote
Description: bacterial SSU rRNA
Rfam family: Bacterial small subunit ribosomal RNA
Source: RNAcentral
GAUGAACGCUGACAGAAUGCUUAACACAUGCAAGUCGAUUCAAUUUACCUUCGGGUAUUGAGGAUGGCGGACGGGUGAGUAACGCGUAAGGAACUUGCCUCUUGGUCUGGGACAACUGUUGGAAACGACAGCUAAUACCGGAUAUUAUGAGAUUCUCGCAUGGGAAACUUAUGAAAGCUAUAUGCGCCAAGAGAGAGCCUUGCGUUCCAUUAGCUAGUUGGUGGGGUAACGGCCCACCAAGGCGACGAUGGAUAGCCGGCCUGAGAGGGUGAACGGCCACAAGGGGACUGAGACACGGCCCUUACUCCUACGGGAGGCAGCAGUGGGGAAUAUUGGACAAUGGGCCACAAGCCUGAUCCAGCAAUUCUGUGUGCACGAUGAAGGUCUUCGGAUUGUAAAGUGCUUUCAGUUGGGAAGAAGAAAGUGACGGUACCAACAGAAGAAGCGACGGCUAAAUACGUGCCAGCAGCCGCGGUAAUACGUAUGUCGCAAGCGUUAUCCGGAUUUAUUGGGCGUAAAGCGCGUCUAGGCGGAAAAAUAAGUCUGAUGUUAAAAUGCGGGGCUCAACUCCGUAUUGCGUUGGAAACUGUUUUUCUAGAGUACUGGAGAGGUGGGCGGAACUACAAGUGUAGAGGUGAAAUUCGUANAUAUUUGUAGGAAUGCCGAUGGAGAAGUCAGCUCACUGGACAGAUACUGACGCUAAAGCGCGAAAGCGUGGGGNGCAAACAGGAUUAGAUACCCUGGUAGUCCACGCC